This 241-nucleotide unclassified non-coding RNA is filed under the name Hevea brasiliensis (rubber tree). Lineage: Eukaryota; Viridiplantae; Streptophyta; Magnoliopsida; Malpighiales; Euphorbiaceae. The record is from RNAcentral.
GAGACCCAUGGUGACACGCGCUCCCGCAGGCGCGGCGAGAAGAAGAUCGCGCAGGUUCGCGGCGAAGACGCGAACGGCCUCUUCCUCGGCCGCAGUCCACAGCCGCAUGCGCAGAUCGAUGUUGAUGUGAANNNNNACGCCCAGCGGACUGUUUCGGCCAGCCAUUUGUCGCCGGGCCGCCCCUGAUCGGAGAUCGAAAAACGCUGCCGGAUGCGCAGUUCGUAUGAACUCACGGCGGCAG